RNAcentral lists this unclassified non-coding RNA (377 nucleotides) under uncultured Oligoflexaceae bacterium. RNAcentral's name for it is "contains 16S-23S intergenic spacer region". Lineage: Bacteria; Pseudomonadati; Bdellovibrionota; Oligoflexia; Oligoflexales; Oligoflexaceae. The record is from RNAcentral.
UCCGGUUUAACACCGGCAGUCCCUUCAGAGUGCCCAACUUAAUGGUGGCAACUAAAGGCAAGGGUUGCGCUCGUUGCGGGACUUAACCCAACAUCUUACGACACGAGCUGACGACAGCCAUGCAGCACCUAUCUCCCUGUCCCCGAAGGGAACACAACAUCUCUGCUGCUGUCAGGGGAUGUUAAGCCCAGGUAAGGUUCUGCGCGUUGCUUCGAAUUAAACCACAUACUCCACCGCUUGUGCGGGCCCCCGUCAAUUCCUUUGAGUUUUAGUCUUGCGACCGUACUCCCCAGGCGGGAUACUUAAUGCGUGAGCUACGGUACUCAAAGGGUUAACACUUCGAGCACCUAGUAUCCAUCGUUUACGGCGUGGACUAC